RNAcentral lists this ribosomal RNA (537 nucleotides) under Triticum aestivum (bread wheat). RNAcentral's name for it is "partial small subunit ribosomal RNA". Lineage: Eukaryota; Viridiplantae; Streptophyta; Magnoliopsida; Poales; Poaceae. The record is from RNAcentral.
CCCAAAGAUUCAAGGGGGCUAGGCUUUCGUGAUAUCCACUGUUUCAAUCUGGCGAUGUUGGCAAAGCAGGCCUGGCGGUUAAUCGAGAAUACCGAAUCCCUUAGUGCUACUAUUUUGAGAGUGAAGUACUUUCUUGAUGGGGACUUACUGAAUGCGCAGUUGAAAAAGGGAUCUUUGUUCACCUGGUAGAGUAUCAUGGCGGGAGUGAAUUCUCUGAAACAUGGGUAUAUAUGGAGAGUCGGGAAUGGUGAGAAUAAUUAUAUUUGGGAGGAUGCCUGGAUCCCAAAUUGUGCGGACAGAAAAAUCAUCACGCCGGAAGGGAACCAUCUAAUUUCUCGGGUUGCAGAUUUUAUUGACCCUAAUUCUGGUAUGUGGAACUGGUUAGACAAACUCUUUGGCCCAUUGAUGCAUAACGAGUACUUACUAUCCCUCUCUCUCAUCAUGAUAUGCCAGAUUUUGUUGCAUGCAGCAAUACAAAAAUGGUAUGUUCUCAGUUCGGUCAGCGUAUUUCGUGGAGUGGGAACAUCAACACGGUAA